This is a long non-coding RNA of Plodia interpunctella (Indianmeal moth), 189 nucleotides long. RefSeq lists it as uncharacterized. Lineage: Eukaryota; Metazoa; Arthropoda; Insecta; Lepidoptera; Pyralidae. The record is from RefSeq and is a predicted model, not a curated record. The transcript is spliced from 3 exons.
GUCUAGGUAGGUACGCGACGUGCAUACGGAGCGGAGUUGGUACAGGUGAACAGAUAAACUGGAGAUGAAAGCAAGCGCUUGCCCCGUAGCACCGGUGCUACGAAGCUCACUACUACGCAGCUCGUAGCAGUCGUAGCACUACGACUUUUAUUAAGAGGGAGACAGAGCAGGUUCUUCUUCAGGUAUUGA